This 76-nucleotide transfer RNA is filed under the name Candidatus Woesebacteria bacterium RBG_16_41_13. Its description in RNAcentral is "tRNA-Phe". It matches the Rfam family "tRNA". From Rfam's summary of the family: Transfer RNA (tRNA) molecules are approximately 80 nucleotides in length. Their secondary structure includes four short double-helical elements and three loops (D, anti-codon, and T loops). Further hydrogen bonds mediate the characteristic L-shaped molecular structure. tRNAs have two regions of fundamental functional importance: the anti-codon, which is responsible for specific mRNA codon recognition, and the 3' end, to which the tRNAs corresponding amino acid is attached (by aminoacyl-tRNA synthetases). tRNAs cope with the degeneracy of the genetic code in two manners: having more than one tRNA (with a specific anti-codon) for a particular amino acid; and 'wobble' base-pairing, i.e. permitting non-standard base-pairing at the 3rd anti-codon position. The record is from RNAcentral. RNAcentral also lists the same sequence under 6 other names. Lineage: Bacteria; Candidatus Woeseibacteriota.
GCCGAGGUAGCCAAGGUGGUCACGGCGGGCGCCUGAAGAGCGUCAGAUGUGUGUUCGACUCACACCCUCGGCACAA